UACGUAGGGUGCAAGCGUUAAUCGGAAUUACUGGGCGUAAAGCGUGCGCAGGCGGCUUUGCAAGUCAGAUGUGAAAUCCCCGGGCUUAACCUGGGAACUGCAUUUGUGACUGCAUGGCUGGAGUGCGGCAGAGGGGGAUGGAAUUCCGCGUGUAGCAGUGAAAUGCGUAGAUAUGCGGAGGAACACCGAUGGCGAAGGCAGCCUCCUGGGCCAGCACUGACGCUCAUGCACGAAAGCGUGGGGAGCAAACAGG
RNAcentral lists this ribosomal RNA (253 nucleotides) under uncultured bacterium. RNAcentral describes it as "partial 16S ribosomal RNA". It matches the Rfam family "Bacterial small subunit ribosomal RNA", at positions 524 to 776 of the family's 1533-position model. The record is from RNAcentral.